UGCUGAUGUGAAAACAUUUGCUCAGGGUCA
This 30-nucleotide non-coding RNA is filed under the name Homo sapiens (human). The record is from RNAcentral. Lineage: Eukaryota; Metazoa; Chordata; Mammalia; Primates; Hominidae.